This 573-nucleotide ribosomal RNA is filed under the name Trichoderma hamatum. RNAcentral describes it as "eukaryotic LSU rRNA". The stretch from base 200 to 353 matches the Rfam family "5.8S ribosomal RNA". The record is from RNAcentral. Lineage: Eukaryota; Fungi; Ascomycota; Sordariomycetes; Hypocreales; Hypocreaceae.
UGCGGAGGGAUCAUUACCGAGUUUACAACUCCCAAACCCAAUGUGAACGUUACCAAACUGUUGCCUCGGCGGGGUCACGCCCCGGGUGCGUAAAAGCCCCGGAACCAGGCGCCCGCCGGAGGAACCAACCAAACUCUUUCUGUAGUCCCCUCGCGGACGUAUUUCUUACAGCUCUGAGCAAAAAUUCAAAAUGAAUCAAAACUUUCAACAACGGAUCUCUUGGUUCUGGCAUCGAUGAAGAACGCAGCGAAAUGCGAUAAGUAAUGUGAAUUGCAGAAUUCAGUGAAUCAUCGAAUCUUUGAACGCACAUUGCGCCCGCCAGUAUUCUGGCGGGCAUGCCUGUCCGAGCGUCAUUUCAACCCUCGAACCCCUCCGGGGGGUCGGCGUUGGGGAUCGGGACCCCUCACCGGGUGCCGGCCCUGAAAUACAGUGGCGGUCUCGCCGCAGCCUCUCCUGCGCAGUAGUUUGCACAACUCGCACCGGGAGCGCGGCGCGUCCACGUCCGUAAAACACCCAACUUCUGAAAUGUUGACCUCGGAUCAGGUAGGAAUACCCGCUGAACUUAAGCAUAUC